CCGGAAUAGCUCANUUGGUAGAGCA
This 25-nucleotide transfer RNA is filed under the name Nyholmiella obtusifolia. RNAcentral's name for it is "partial tRNA-Phe". The record is from RNAcentral. RNAcentral also lists the same sequence under 2 other names. Lineage: Eukaryota; Viridiplantae; Streptophyta; Bryopsida; Orthotrichales; Orthotrichaceae.